AUGAACGCUGGCGGCGUGCUUAACCCAUGCAAGUCGCGCGAGAAGUUUUGAAAAGAUUCUUCGGAUGAAAUUUAAAAUGGAAAGCGGCGGACGGGUGAGUAACGCGUAGGCAACCUGCCCCAUACAAAGGGAUAGCAUUUGGAAACGAAUAUUAAUACCUUAUGAAACUUAACUAGUGCAUGCUAGGUAGGUCAAAGAUUUAUCGGUAUGGGAUGGGCCUGCGUCUGAUUAGCUAGUUGGUGAGGUAACGGCUCACCAAGGCGACGAUCAGUAGCCGACCUGAGAGGGUGAACGGCCACAUUGGAACUGAGACACGGUCCAAACUCCUACGGGAGGCAGCAGUGGGGAAUAUUGCACAAUGGGGGAAACCCUGAUGCAGCAACGCCGCGUGAACGAUGAAGGCCUUUGGGUCGUAAAGUUCUGUUCUAGGUGAUGAAAACUGACAGUAACCUAGGAGAAAGCCCCGGCUAACUCCGUG
RNAcentral lists this ribosomal RNA (478 nucleotides) under uncultured bacterium. RNAcentral describes it as "partial 16S ribosomal RNA". It matches the Rfam family "Bacterial small subunit ribosomal RNA", at positions 29 to 507 of the family's 1533-position model. The record is from RNAcentral.